Molecule: long non-coding RNA, 2149 nt
Filed under: Homo sapiens (human)
Lineage: Eukaryota; Metazoa; Chordata; Mammalia; Primates; Hominidae
Description: HSALNT0108276
Source: RNAcentral
CCGAAGAAAUAAACUGACGUAACUAUUUGAAGUACAAAUAAGUGUAAUUUUAUUUUAAAAGAUGCAAAUAUGUGUUGCCAAAUACUGUUUUCGUCAUGGUGUAGUCCACUUUCAGUAAACAACUCAAUGAAGUUUAUAAACUUCAUAUGAACAGUAACAAAUGAGUCAUCCUAUUCAAAUCAAAUAAACAAAUAACUAGUGUGCCUAUUAUUUGUAAGGUCCUGUGAUCAAAAGGUACAGUCGUUUAUAGCCAGUGCUUUACUCAAGUCCUUUCUUGAUAGAUAGAUGGGUGGCAGAUGGAUAGAGAUAUCCUACAUAUCUAUCAUCUAUCUCUACAUUCUUCUUUUCCGGUAUUUCAUCCAACUUCCACUAAAGAUAGUUUGUGUGACUUUAUUAUAGAAAUAAAGUUCACAAUAAAGAUGAUUUACAUACAGAACUCUUAUAUUUUCAUUCAUGGAAAAAACCACAACAUGGUGGUGCCAGUGACAGUCUGUGUUUUGGGGCAGGAUAGAAACUAACCUGCUUCAGUUACCUGACAUUCUAGCAAACUUAUUAGGAACACAAACGCUCGGGUCUCUGAAUGCACCAACCUGAGCGCCGGCUGAUUAGGCAUUGUAAAGCAGUGUUCUAAAAGGAAAGGCCUUCACUUAAACAGUGCUACAACGUGUUUGUUCAGCUUUCUUUCAUACACAAACUUUUGCCAGAAAAGGCGUUUUAAGCCGAGGGUAAAGAUUUUGUGCGUCCACCGUUCCCAUCUUCAACUCUUUAGAAUAAUAGUCAUUUAAGCACCGGACCUGUCUUCAGAUUCUUACUUUGCGACACAGCUUUGGCCGGACUUGGCUUGAUCUGGGCUCCAGGAUCGGUCCCACCACCCGGGCUCGGAGCGGUUUGUUCCUAGUGGAUCAGGGCGGGUGUGUUGCCGGAGUCGCCUUCUAUUGGCUACACUCCCGGGGACUGGCUGGGCUUUCCGACACCUGAUUGGGCGGAACAGCCCUCUGUACGCCGACAUCAUUGGAGGGCGCUGGAGCCAGGGGGCGGAGCGGGUUCCCCAGGAUUCUUGACCGGGCGCGCUAGUCCGUCCGCUGAGCCGGGCGCGGGGCGCAAGAGCGGAGCUGCGCGAGCCGCUGCGGAGGGAAGGGCUCCUAGCCAAUUGGGGUCUUUGAGGCGAAUGCGAGGCUGGGGCCGGUUGCCUACCGGCCGCUUCUCGCCGAGGCAGUCCAGACUUUUCCCCCGGCGGUGCCCGCUCCAAGACAGCAUCUGUCAACGCUCCUCUUCUCCCCUCCUCCUCCUGCCGGGCCGGGCUCCGCCGGCUGCGGCCGAGAGGACGCGGGACCCGGCGCGGUGAGCCCAUCAGCUGUCAGGCGAGCGGCGAAGCGGCUGGAGGGCGGCGAGAGACACACAAAGAACGCGGUGGGCGGCGGCGGCGAAAGGGGACGGCAACUCCUCCCCGCGCCCGCCGGUGCCACCGCCGGCCGUGCUUGUUCCGAGGCCGCGCAGACAAUGCGGCCGGGCUCGUCCCCGCGUGCCCCAGAGUGCGGAGCGCCCGCGCUCCCCCGACCCCAACUUGACCGUCUCCCGGCUCGCCCAGCCCCCUCCCGGGGUAGGGGCGCCCCCUCCCUCCGGUGGCCGGCGAAGGAAGUCGGUCCGCGGCCGCAGAUCCCGGCAACUUGCGAACCGGGAAAAGUUUGCGGCGCCUCCGCGGGGCGGCGCGACGCGGCCCGCCCCUCGCGUCCGCGGUCAUCGCGGGUGACUUUCUCGACUCGUCGUCAGCCGGGGCCGCAGCGCGGCCGGUGGGGACUGCGGGGCGGGCCGGAGUCCGUCCGAGGGCUCCCGCACCUCGGGCUGCGGGAACAUUAAAAUCUCCCCAGAUGCUCACUGCUCUGAUCAUUUCCCCUACAGCACCAGACAUGUUGGCAUCAUCUCUUAGUUGGGCCAUGUGGCCAGGGAACCCUUCAUGAAACCACCUCUGCAGUCCUGGAGAGUUGCUGUAGAAGAAGGAAAAGAGAGGAAGACAACACAACACAGGAGGGGAUAAGUACCUCUGGACACAAUGGAAGUAGUAGUUGUUGAGCAGAGGGAAAGGGAUAGGAGAAGGAUGUGGACUGCAGUGCUGCAGUGCCAGGAAGUUCGAGGACCUUCAGAAAUCAAU